This 1207-nucleotide long non-coding RNA is filed under the name Setaria italica (foxtail millet). RNAcentral's name for it is "long non-coding RNA (SITA_LNC004753)". Lineage: Eukaryota; Viridiplantae; Streptophyta; Magnoliopsida; Poales; Poaceae. The record is from RNAcentral.
GCACUCGAGUGAGAACAUUCUCAUCGUAUUUCAUCUUUUAAAAGGCCUUAGCCGACAGCAUACACAUCAGAGAUCGAGUAAAAACAACCAGAAAAGACUUAACAAGCAAGCUAGCCAAGCUUUGGAGGAUAAAGGUCCCAUCAGAAGAAAAUUUAGGUAUACCCUAUCAGUAAUGUUUGAAAACAAAAUGAGAAAACCUAAUAACAUGGUGGUUGUGAAUCCUAAACAUGUGCCAGAAGAUCAUUUGUCGACUGAAAUAAUCCUCUGUUUGAGAUCUCCGAACUGCAAACAUGUCUUCUUUGCUUCCUGCAUAUAGUAAAUUAAUUUCAAUGAAGGCACAUUAUUUACGGUUGAUGCUUGUUUUUAGGAGAUAGAGAAUUAAGAUGCAUCUUGAAAAGGACAUAACUUGCAGUGAACCAAACUGAGUUACCAUGCAGUGACAAAAAAUCACACAAAAUUCAGAAUUAAAUUGGAAGAUAUCAUGUCAGCAAGGAAUCGUAAUCAGCAAACAACCUGACGAAUGCUGCCAGGACUAUAUGGUUCUUGAGAAGGUGACAUUGCACACGAAGACUAACCAAAUUCAGAAAUUAAUUGCAAGAUUUUAUAUCAAGAAGGAAUCAUAAUUAGCAAACAUUUGUUAGGAGAAAUAACUAAAGCUAACGAAUCCAUCUAUGUAUAGCAUGGCAAUUUGCCCGUUAGAACGUGGUAGAAUCAGCACAUGAUGGAACAAUUAUUAAACUAAGAACAAUGCCUGGUACAAAUCACAUGGAUUUAAUUAACGCCUCCAUGCGCUUGAGCUGCGGCAAAAAGGGCAUGUCCUAGCACAGGGCAGGCGGCAGAUAAUCUUAUCUUACCCUGAACCUAGAUGGCUGAGAAGGUCUAUGCAUCUUACCUUAAGCACCACCAAGGUAAAUGUUUGCUCGCCGCGCGGCAGGUUGGAUGACCGCGGAUGGACGAGCGAGGGAACCGCCUCCGGGCCUCUCGUCACCGGAUCAUACCACGAACCGGCAGAACAAGGGAAGCGGCGACGAGGACGAAGAAAUGGUCAGUCCGCCGCUGCCAGGGAGGCUGCCCGCGGACGGGCACCUGCCGGCCCCACUCGGCCCCGGACCGCACCCGACGGAUCAGCAGAGAGACGAGGCGGCGGGGAGUAGCCUGUACUGCCCCUACCACUCCAUCAGCCACGAGAUCACAUCUGACGGUGAGG